CCCUCUUCCUUGACAGCUUCAUUACCCGCCGUGAAUCAAAACCAGCCACAAUCCUACUUAACAAAAUUCGACAUGUUGUUCAUACUUCAACUCCAAAGAAAUUGUUUAAGAACAACCACUAAUCCAUGUUUUUUCUUCUUUGAGCUAGUAUAGACUUCAUCAAGUUGCACUGAAGCUUCUCCACGAACACAAAACUCUUGUUCUGAAGCAUCUGCAGCUGGUUCAAAAGUU
This is a long non-coding RNA of Arabidopsis thaliana (thale cress), 231 nucleotides long. RefSeq annotates it as other RNA. The record is from RefSeq. The transcript has a single exon. Lineage: Eukaryota; Viridiplantae; Streptophyta; Magnoliopsida; Brassicales; Brassicaceae.